ACCAAUGGCAGCUUCCAAUGGGGAUUUGAUAUGGACCAUUGGACCCGACAAGACGCUUACCAACGACUCUACUGGGGAUUUUUCUUUUUUUUUCGGAGACAGAAACCACGACUAGACGCCAACGGACGAAUAGGAAGGACUCAACCAGACAUCAACGGAUGAAUGGGAGAAAGAAACCACGACUAGACGCCAACGGACGAAUAGGAAGGACUCGACCAUACAUC
RNAcentral lists this long non-coding RNA (224 nucleotides) under Lathyrus oleraceus (garden pea). Its description in RNAcentral is "Pisum sativum (pea) long non-coding RNA (PSAT_LNC030321)". Lineage: Eukaryota; Viridiplantae; Streptophyta; Magnoliopsida; Fabales; Fabaceae. The record is from RNAcentral.